CCUACGGGUGGCAGCAGUGAGGAAUCUUGGUCAAUGGCCACAGGGCUGAACCAGCCAAGUCGCGUGAGGGAUGACGGUCCUAUGGAUUGUAAACCUCUUUUGUCAGGGAGCAAAGGGCGCCACGUGUGGCGUUUUGCGAGUACCUGAAGAAAACGCAUCGGCAAACUUCGCGCCAGCAGCCGCGGUAAUACGGGGGAUGCGAGCGUUAUCCGGUUUUAUUGGGUUAAAAGGGUGCGCAGGCGGAAUGUCAAGUCAGCGGUAAUAUUUCGGGGCUCAACCCCGUCGUGCCGUUGAAACUGGCGUUCUUGAGUGAGCGAGAAGUAUGCGGAAUGCGUGGUGUAGCGGUGAAAUGCAUAGAUAUCACGCAGAACUCAGAGUGCGAAGGCAGCAUACCGGCGCUCAACUGACGCUCAUGCACGAAAGCGUGGGUAUCGAACAGGAUUAGAUACCCUUGUAGUC
Molecule: ribosomal RNA, 459 nt
Filed under: uncultured bacterium
Lineage: Bacteria
Description: partial 16S ribosomal RNA
Rfam family: Bacterial small subunit ribosomal RNA
Source: RNAcentral